This 776-nucleotide ribosomal RNA is filed under the name uncultured Neocallimastigales. RNAcentral's name for it is "partial large subunit ribosomal RNA". It matches the Rfam family "Eukaryotic large subunit ribosomal RNA", at positions 23 to 644 of the family's 3401-position model. Lineage: Eukaryota; Fungi; Neocallimastigomycota; Neocallimastigomycetes; Neocallimastigales. The record is from RNAcentral.
AGAGAGAGACAUGCGCGCAUAUCAAUAAGCGGAGGAAAAGAAACUAACAAGGAUUCCCCUAGUAACGGCGAGUGAAGCGGGAAGAGCUCAAAUUUGAAAUCUUCAAGGUUUUACCUUGACGAAUUGUAGUUUAAAGAAGUGUUUUCUGUUGGUGUUUUGGUAAAAGUUCUUUGGAAUAGGACAUCAUAGAGGGUGAGAAUCCCGUAUUUGACCAUUACUUCCAGCGUUGUGAUACACUUUCAAAGAGUCGGAUUGUUUGGGAAUGCAGUCCAAAAUGGGUGGUAAAUUUCAUCUAAAGCUAAAUAUUGGCGAGAGACCGAUAGCGAACAAGUACCGUGAAGGGAAAGAUGAAAAGAACUUUGAAAAGAGAGUUAAACAGUACGUGAAAUUGUCAAAAGGGAGGCGUUUGACACCAGUGUUGUUUUUCCGAAAAUCAAUUACGAAUGUUUUAUUUUUGAAGAGUUAUGACUUCAUCGGCUUGCUUCUUUCUUUACGAAACUUUCUUAAUGCACUUUUCGGUUAACAAGUCAACAUCAAUUUCUUUUGUUGUAAAAGGGUAUGAGGAAGGUGGCUUUCUUUUCGGAGAAAGUGUUUAUAGCCUUGUACCUCUGCAAUCGGAGAGAUUGAGGUCUGCAGCGUAGAUCCUUCGGGGUUAGAUACAUUUGUGCUAAGUUAUAGCUUUUCAUAGACAACUUGUUGACUAUGUUUAGUCUUGUAGCUUACUCGCUUACUGCUAUUUUACCUACGCUUAGGAUGUUGAUAGUCACAGCGUGUAC